Molecule: long non-coding RNA, 323 nt
Filed under: Malus domestica (apple)
Lineage: Eukaryota; Viridiplantae; Streptophyta; Magnoliopsida; Rosales; Rosaceae
Description: long non-coding RNA (MDOM_LNC008770)
Source: RNAcentral
UAAUCAAUUCAUAUUACAAAUAUAUUCAUGGCUUUGAAUUAACCUCUAGCCAAAAUAAAUUUAGUUACACAUUAUUUUCAAAUUAAACCAAAAAUUAAACAUGAGUUUGAGAAGAUAACACCAAUAAGAAUGGAGUGAAGCCUCUGCCUCUGUGCUCCUCUUCUUCCCGUGCUUCUCCUCCUAUCUCUCACGCUGCCAAAGGCAGCCUUUAUUCUUUCCGCGCCCAACAGUCUCUGCGCCUCACUUCCCUUCUCUGUUCCGUGUGUUUUCUCUGCUCUCCGCACAGUUUUCUGUGCAGCUUCUCUCACUAGCUUCCAGGCUCU